This 500-nucleotide ribosomal RNA is filed under the name uncultured bacterium. Its description in RNAcentral is "bacterial SSU rRNA". It matches the Rfam family "Bacterial small subunit ribosomal RNA", at positions 28 to 531 of the family's 1533-position model. The record is from RNAcentral.
GAUGAACGCUGGCGGCGUGCCUCAAACAUGCAAGUCGAGCGGGGCUAUGUAAUAUCGCAAGGUAGAACAUAGCCUAGCGGCGAACGGGUGAGUAACACGUGGGUAACCUGCCUGGAAGACAGGGAUAACGAUUCGAAAGGGUCGCUAAUACCUGAUAAUAUCCUUUCAUCGCAUGGUGAUAGGAAGAAAGGGGAAACCCGCUUUCAGAUGGGCCCGCGUCCCAUCAGCUAGUUGGUAAGGUAAAGGCUUACCAAGGCGACGACGGGUAGCCGGUCUGAGAGGAUGUACGGCCACACUGGGACUGAGAUACGGCCCAGACUCCUACGGGAGGCAGCAGUUGGGAAUCUUAGGCAAUGGACGAAAGUCUGACCUAGCGACGCCGCGUGAGGGAAGAAGGCCUUCGGGUUGUAAACCUCUGUCAUGGGGAAGAAGUAAGUGACGGUACCCCAAGAGGAAGCCCCUGCUAACUACGUGCCAGCAGCCGCGGUAAAGGUUGUACA